Molecule: ribosomal RNA, 511 nt
Filed under: uncultured bacterium
Lineage: Bacteria
Description: bacterial SSU rRNA
Rfam family: Bacterial small subunit ribosomal RNA
Source: RNAcentral
AAUGGGCGCAAGCCUGAUCCAGCAAUGCCGCGUGCAGGAAGAAGGCCUUCGGGUUGUAAACUGCUUUUGUACGGAACGAAAAGGUUCGGGUUAAUACCCUGGGCUCAUGACGGUACCGUAAGAAUAAGCACCGGCUAACUACGUGCCAGCAGCCGCGGUAAUACGUAGGGUGCAAGCGUUAAUCGGAAUUACUGGGCGUAAAGCGUGCGCAGGCGGUUUUGUAAGACAGGCGUGAAAUCCCCGGGCUCAACCUGGGAAUGGCGCUUGUGACUGCAAAGCUGGAGUGCGGCAGAGGGGGAUGGAAUUCCGCGUGUAGCAGUGAAAUGCGUAGAUAUGCGGAGGAACACCAAUGGCGAAGGCAAUCCCCUGGGCCUGCACUGACGCUCAUGCACGAAAGCGUGGGGAGCAAACAGGAUUAGAUACCCUGGUAGUCCACGCCCUAAACGAUGUCAACUGGUUGUUGGUCCUUAGCUGGAUCAGUAACGAAGCUAACGCGUGAAGUUGACCGCCU